This 233-nucleotide long non-coding RNA is filed under the name Sorghum bicolor (sorghum). Its description in RNAcentral is "long non-coding RNA (SBIC_LNC016015)". Lineage: Eukaryota; Viridiplantae; Streptophyta; Magnoliopsida; Poales; Poaceae. The record is from RNAcentral.
CUGCGAUCAGAUAAAUCAUCCACUUCCUUAGCAUAUUAUGUAGGAGGGACCAUGAGCUAUCUUUUCUUUCUCUCUUUGUUUUUUUUCAGAUCGAGGUUCCAGACACUUGUCCCUUUUUAUUUCCUCGUGAUCUAUCUUUUUGAGGUUUCAGACCUUGUCCAUUUUUAUUUCCUCGGAUUUCUUUAUGAUGAGCUCAUGCUCCUUUAUAAUAGUGCUUAAGAGAGUGUAUUAUG